AUAAAAAAAAAUCUUUUCCACCUAGAUCUACUCUCUCUCUAGCGAUUCACCCUUAAAUCAAAGAAAAAAAAUAUAUCAAUCUGUUUCCUUGUGCCUUGAAGCUUGCGUUGUGUUGUUGGUGGUAGCAUACGGUGAUGGCGGAAGAUUCUAGGGUUCUGGUGUUCAAGUGACGUCAGAGAAGGCAGCCACGCAUCAGGUUUUUCUUGGCCGUCAGUCUACAAGAUGGUAAGCUUUUAUUCAUUUUUUUUAUAGUUGAUUUGUUGAAGAAGAUCGAUGUUGUGGUGGUUUUUUGUUAUGAUCUGAUCUGGUUAUGUAGAAUCAGGGCUUGCAACUCUGUUUGAAGUGCAUCUUUCCGUUUGAUUUUCCUGGUAGAAGAGGGUCCCCUCCAAGUAUUUUUCUUAGGGUUUUUUAGUUGUCUGUUGAUUAUAAUUUAAGAAAAAUAAAUUGCAGGUUGAUUUGAAGCUUCUUUUAGCAUAGAUCUUCGUGUGGGUAAUCUUUAUAUACAUUUUUGUAUAGUUUUUCUUUUGCGUCUUUAUACUUUAUUAGGGUUUUUGAUAAAACGGGGGGGGGGGGGGGGGUAUAUAAUUUUCAUAAAGAACAAUUAAAGCUUUGGUGUAGGGUGUUCUACGGGUUAGUUAAAUGGCUUUCGGAAAUUUCAUAGCAAACCUGAUAACCGACCCUUAUUUGCUGGUUGAGCAAGCUUUGCCAUUUGGGUGCUGAUCAUACAUUGAUUACAAGUGUGUUAGGUCCUUGAAUAGUUCGUAGUCUAAAGUGUUGAUUACCGUGGAGGGUGGAAAGAAAGAAUGAAAGACUGGAAAUUGCACCGGCAAGGGAAUCUUGGGGCUAAGUUUAAUGAUUCAUCGAAUCAGGAUAUGGAAAUGUUAGAUGAAGCAAUACAACCACUUUCAAGAAAAGUACCAAUUGUAUCCGUUAAGAACAAUCUUUAUCGGAAGGUUAUGGUUAACUUCUAUAUUCUGUGAGAUUUGGUUUGUUUUCUCUUGGAUCGGUUCCCCAAAUGGUUCCCCCUUGAUUGCGAGGCGUAUCUUGAUCGCCUUUCUUGGUGUUUGAUCUCAAACGGGUUGUUUAAAACUCAUCUUGGUGAUGCAGCCAUGAACAGGAAGGCGAACCAAAUAUGUUAUUAUUGUGCAAAUACAAUUUUGGUCAUCACACUUAUCAUAAGGUAAUGGGCAUCUAUAAAUCAGUGGUGGAACCAACACAUCUUGAGUUUUGCGACUGCAUGGCUUGUUAGUUCUCCCGGAUUGUUUUGGGGCUUUGAUGGGUGGUUUGUGGUUGGGACUGCAGAUUCAGCCAAUGUGCUCCCCUGUUUGAGACGAAGAGGUUUCCUUUCACAACAGUUUUUUACAUGCUAAUGGCUAGAGCACUGGCUGUUCUCGUUGGAUAUUACAUGUAUAUGCAGAACCCACAAACGGAAAAUUAGAUUCUGAAAGAUCACCCGUGUCUUCAAGGCUAGGCACGAAAUUGAAAGAGAUGCAAAUGGAAUACAGGCUAACGCGCAUGAUGAGCUGCCCGAAGCCCUUUUGGGAACUUGGUGGUUGAAUCAUAUGUACACAUCGAAAUUGAUAUCCAUCGACUAUAUGAACAUCCUGCUUAAAGAUUUUAAUUUUGGGUAUAGAUGAUUCUUUAGUUCAAGUUGAAUUGCAAAAUGAAAACUUAUUCUUGACUUUGUAUCUCUUUAUUGUUUUAUUCAACAACGCUUGAUUCAUGAAAGUUGUAUUGUUUAAUACAUCAUGACAAUCCAUUUGAAUUC
Long non-coding RNA from Helianthus annuus (common sunflower), 1768 nucleotides. RefSeq lists it as uncharacterized. NCBI's taxonomy places the organism in Eukaryota, Viridiplantae, Streptophyta, Magnoliopsida, Asterales, Asteraceae. The transcript has 8 exons. The record is from RefSeq and is a predicted model, not a curated record.